CCCAAAGCUUCACCUGCCUAACUCCUACUGAGCCUUCAGCCUCAGCAUGGACCCCACCUCCUUGCAGAGGCCUUCCCUGAGCCUCCAGACUAGGCCAGGUCCCCUCCCUGGAGAUUUCUGAUUUCGGCCAGGAGUAGCAUUUCCAACAAGCCCCCAAGUGAUUUUUUAAAAAGUAGAAGUUUGGAAGACUCUGCACACCGCUGCCCGGGGCUCUCACAGCACUCUUCAUUCUCCCGUCUCACUGGGCACACCUGGAACUGAUUAGUUACCUCCCUAAUGGCUGGGUCCACAUCUGUCUCGUCCAAGCCCAGUGGAGCCCUUUGCAGACUUCUCUGAUAAGUCUGCCUGAGCACAGUGGUCCUGACACAGCUGCAUGAUGAGUGGCACCGCUUUGUGAGGCUGUUGGACUAGCGAGGCUUUCCCUGAGUGUGGGUAAGCGAGGACUAGCAGGAACGUUGUACCCAAGCCAAUUGCUCACUUAUUAAAAUUUUGUUGAUUAAAGGAGCAAAAUGCUUAUAAUUAUGCAU
Molecule: long non-coding RNA, 527 nt
Filed under: Equus caballus (horse)
Lineage: Eukaryota; Metazoa; Chordata; Mammalia; Perissodactyla; Equidae
Description: lncRNA (ENSECAG00000059589.1)
Source: RNAcentral